ACCAUUUUAAGAUUUACCAACCCACAAAUACAUAAGUAGUCUCUACAGGUUAGAAGGGCAUCAUAUCUUCUGCCAGAAUGUCUGGACUUAAAUUCUAUCUGUAAGACUUGAGGAGACUCCUCUCACAUGACAAGCAGCUUCCUGAAAGAGGGCACUGAACUCAGGGGCUUCCACUUUCCUCCAGCAGUCUGCUUAUCUCCAUCUAUACACUGAUUGGUCAGAGCCUCAGACCUAAAACAGCAAUAUUAGAGGCAUGGAAGCAUGAAGCCAGAAAGAAAAGGCAAAGAAGAGGGAACGAAGUCAUCCUGGAGUUCUUGAAAGAAACAGAGAUCCUAACAAAUGUGAUGAAAAGUCCUAGGAGGAAUACUUUUCCUCAGGAUGGCCUGUUACUUUCAGAAAAUGGCGUACACCUAUAAAGAGAGACGUACAUUCCUGCCAAGAUAAACGAGUCAGUAAAAAUGCUCCUGAGAGUCAGCUUGUAUUACAGGCAGUGUAUUAUAAACACACACAUCCAGAAUCUGAGCUACAUCUUUUAUUCUGAACAUUUCACUCAAUAAAAAGCCGAUAUGCAAGGUCCAAGUGAUGACACACACUAAG
Mastomys coucha (southern multimammate mouse) is the source of this 597-nucleotide long non-coding RNA. RefSeq lists it as uncharacterized. The transcript is spliced from 3 exons. The record is from RefSeq and is a predicted model, not a curated record. NCBI's taxonomy places the organism in Eukaryota, Metazoa, Chordata, Mammalia, Rodentia, Muridae.